Molossus molossus (Pallas's mastiff bat) is the source of this 134-nucleotide small nucleolar RNA. RefSeq annotates it as small nucleolar RNA SNORA13. The record is from RefSeq and is a predicted model, not a curated record. NCBI's taxonomy places the organism in Eukaryota, Metazoa, Chordata, Mammalia, Chiroptera, Molossidae. The transcript has a single exon.
AGCCUUUGUGUUGCCCAUUCACUUUUAGAAACUAGUUAAUGUGGUGUCAGAAAAGGUAUAAACUAAACACUUUGCAGCCCUUUCCUUCCCUUGAAUUUGAUGUCUUUGGUAUAAGAGCAGCAUAAGUAACAGUU